CGCUCCCUUCUACCUAUCGCACGGGCAACUUAUCUAGCCAACACAGAGGCAGCAGCUGCUGCUGCCCGGGUUGCACGUACACAGAUCCCAAGGCCAACGGAGAGGCGUCAGCAGCAGCCGCCGUUGUUCCACAACGAGGAACACAGAUCCCAAGGCCGAUCGAUCGAUGGAGAACAACGGCAGGAGCAACCCGCAGCCUCCACCAGGCUAUCCGACGGUUGCUCCGGAUGGCGGCGAGGGGAAGAAGAAGGGGUCGCGUCGCGCGUCGACGACCAAGCGGGGAGAGGCCAGCUUUAUCGAAGGAUGCAUCGCUGCGCUCUGCUGCUGCUGGAUCUGCGAUCUCUGCUGCAACUGAAGAGCCUACCGGAAUAACUGAUCGAGAGAUCUAGAUGCGAUAUGCACAAGACAUAGAUUCAUGCAUGUGAUGCGUGGAGCUUCUUUUAUUUUGUCGAGUGGUGAUUUAAUUAUAUAUAGUAUAGUUUUACAUCGACAGUGUGACCAGAAAGUUGCAUUAUUGUACUUGUGCUAUAACUAAAAAGAGGUUGAGUGUGUAAUGUUGUGCACGGGUCUGUGUUAAUCGUACUGUGCAACGAGCUAGCAUGCACGCAGUGGUAUGAAUUUUUGGGUCCACGAGUUUCAUGUUUGUGCUUCUUUUUUUCUCUAUGUAACUUUUCCAUAUUACUAAAGGAAAGUUUUUGCUGCCUA
Molecule: long non-coding RNA, 705 nt
Organism: Panicum hallii
Lineage: Eukaryota; Viridiplantae; Streptophyta; Magnoliopsida; Poales; Poaceae
Exons: 3
Source: RefSeq, a predicted model, not a curated record